UGCGUAGGCGGGCUGGCAAGUCAGGCGUGAAAUCCCGGGGCUUAACGUGGGCAUUGCAUUUGAAACUAUGUAGCUAGAGUUCUGUAGAGGGGGGUAGAAUUCCAGGUGUAGCGGUGAAAUGCGUAGAGAUCUGGAGGAAUACCGAUUGCGAAGGCAGCCCCCUGGACAGUGACUGACGCUCAUAUGCGAAAGCGUGGGGAUCAAACAGGAUUAGAUACCCCUGUA
This 225-nucleotide ribosomal RNA is filed under the name uncultured Thorsellia sp. RNAcentral's name for it is "partial 16S ribosomal RNA". It matches the Rfam family "Bacterial small subunit ribosomal RNA", at positions 568 to 792 of the family's 1533-position model. The record is from RNAcentral. Lineage: Bacteria; Pseudomonadati; Pseudomonadota; Gammaproteobacteria; Enterobacterales; Thorselliaceae.